Molecule: non-coding RNA, 98 nt
Filed under: Clostridium estertheticum
Lineage: Bacteria; Bacillati; Bacillota; Clostridia; Eubacteriales; Clostridiaceae
Description: Guanine sequence
Rfam family: Purine riboswitch aptamer
About the family: Riboswitches are metabolite binding domains within certain messenger RNAs that serve as precision sensors for their corresponding targets. Allosteric rearrangement of mRNA structure is mediated by ligand binding, and this results in modulation of gene expression.
Source: RNAcentral
AGCUACAAAAACAACUCUACUCAUAUAUCCCUUGAAUACGGCAAGGAGCAUCUACGGUCAGCCUUAAAUUGACCACUAUGGGUAAUUUUAGUAUGAAC